This 2931-nucleotide ribosomal RNA is filed under the name Escherichia coli. RNAcentral describes it as "23S ribosomal RNA". It matches the Rfam family "Bacterial large subunit ribosomal RNA". The record is from RNAcentral. Lineage: Bacteria; Pseudomonadati; Pseudomonadota; Gammaproteobacteria; Enterobacterales; Enterobacteriaceae.
GGGUUGUGAGGUUAAGCGACUAAGCGUACACGGUGGAUGCCCUGGCAGUCAGAGGCGAUGAAGGACGUGCUAAUCUGCGAUAAGCGUCGGUAAGGUGAUAUGAACCGUUAUAACCGGCGAUUUCCGAAUGGGGAAACCCAGUGUGAUUCGUCACACUAUCAUUAACUGAAUCCAUAGGUUAAUGAGGCGAACCGGGGGAACUGAAACAUCUAAGUACCCCGAGGAAAAGAAAUCAACCGAGAUUCCCCCAGUAGCGGCGAGCGAACGGGGAGGAGCCCAGAGCCUGAAUCAGUGUGUGUGUUAGUGGAAGCGUCUGGAAAGGCGCGCGAUACAGGGUGACAGCCCCGUACACAAAAAUGCACAUACUGUGAGCUCGAUGAGUAGGGCGGGACACGUGGUAUCCUGUCUGAAUAUGGGGGGACCAUCCUCCAAGGCUAAAUACUCCUGACUGACCGAUAGUGAACCAGUACCGUGAGGGAAAGGCGAAAAGAACCCCGGCGAGGGGAGUGAAAAAGAACCUGAAACCGUGUACGUACAAGCAGUGGGAGCCUCUUUAUGGGGUGACUGCGUACCUUUUGUAUAAUGGGUCAGCGACUUAUAUUCUGUAGCAAGGUUAACCGAAUAGGGGAGCCGAAGGGAAACCGAGUCUUAACUGGGCGUUAAGUUGCAGGGUAUAGACCCGAAACCCGGUGAUCUAGCCAUGGGCAGGUUGAAGGUUGGGUAACACUAACUGGAGGACCGAACCGACUAAUGUUGAAAAAUUAGCGGAUGACUUGUGGCUGGGGGUGAAAGGCCAAUCAAACCGGGAGAUAGCUGGUUCUCCCCGAAAGCUAUUUAGGUAGCGCCUCGUGAAUUCAUCUCCGGGGGUAGAGCACUGUUUCGGCAAGGGGGUCAUCCCGACUUACCAACCCGAUGCAAACUGCGAAUACCGGAGAAUGUUAUCACGGGAGACACACGGCGGGUGCUAACGUCCGUCGUGAAGAGGGAAACAACCCAGACCGCCAGCUAAGGUCCCAAAGUCAUGGUUAAGUGGGAAACGAUGUGGGAAGGCCCAGACAGCCAGGAUGUUGGCUUAGAAGCAGCCAUCAUUUAAAGAAAGCGUAAUAGCUCACUGGUCGAGUCGGCCUGCGCGGAAGAUGUAACGGGGCUAAACCAUGCACCGAAGCUGCGGCAGCGACGCUUAUGCGUUGUUGGGUAGGGGAGCGUUCUGUAAGCCUGCGAAGGUGUACUGUGAGGUAUGCUGGAGGUAUCAGAAGUGCGAAUGCUGACAUAAGUAACGAUAAAGCGGGUGAAAAGCCCGCUCGCCGGAAGACCAAGGGUUCCUGUCCAACGUUAAUCGGGGCAGGGUGAGUCGACCCCUAAGGCGAGGCCGAAAGGCGUAGUCGAUGGGAAACAGGUUAAUAUUCCUGUACUUGGUGUUACUGCGAAGGGGGGACGGAGAAGGCUAUGUUGGCCGGGCGACGGUUGUCCCGGUUUAAGCGUGUAGGCUGGUUUUCCAGGCAAAUCCGGAAAAUCAAGGCUGAGGCGUGAUGACGAGGCACUACGGUGCUGAAGCAACAAAUGCCCUGCUUCCAGGAAAAGCCUCUAAGCAUCAGGUAACAUCAAAUCGUACCCCAAACCGACACAGGUGGUCAGGUAGAGAAUACCAAGGCGCUUGAGAGAACUCGGGUGAAGGAACUAGGCAAAAUGGUGCCGUAACUUCGGGAGAAGGCACGCUGAUAUGUAGGUGAAGCGACUUGCUCGUGGAGCUGAAAUCAGUCGAAGAUACCAGCUGGCUGCAACUGUUUAUUAAAAACACAGCACUGUGCAAACACGAAAGUGGACGUAUACGGUGUGACGCCUGCCCGGUGCCGGAAGGUUAAUUGAUGGGGUUAGCGGUAACGCGAAGCUCUUGAUCGAAGCCCCGGUAAACGGCGGCCGUAACUAUAACGGUCCUAAGGUAGCGAAAUUCCUUGUCGGGUAAGUUCCGACCUGCACGAAUGGCGUAAUGAUGGCCAGGCUGUCUCCACCCGAGACUCAGUGAAAUUGAACUCGCUGUGAAGAUGCAGUGUACCCGCGGCAAGACGGAAAGACCCCGUGAACCUUUACUAUAGCUUGACACUGAACAUUGAGCCUUGAUGUGUAGGAUAGGUGGGAGGCUUUGAAGUGUGGACGCCAGUCUGCAUGGAGCCGACCUUGAAAUACCACCCUUUAAUGUUUGAUGUUCUAACGUUGGCCCCUGAUCGGGGUUGCGGACAGUGUCUGGUGGGUAGUUUGACUGGGGCGGUCUCCUCCUAAAGAGUAACGGAGGAGCACGAAGGUUGGCUAAUCCUGGUCGGACAUCAGGAGGUUAGUGCAAUGGCAUAAGCCAGCUUGACUGCGAGCGUGACGGCGCGAGCAGGUGCGAAAGCAGGUCAUAGUGAUCCGGUGGUUCUGAAUGGAAGGGCCAUCGCUCAACGGAUAAAAGGUACUCCGGGGAUAACAGGCUGAUACCGCCCAAGAGUUCAUAUCGACGGCGGUGUUUGGCACCUCGAUGUCGGCUCAUCACAUCCUGGGGCUGAAGUAGGUCCCAAGGGUAUGGCUGUUCGCCAUUUAAAGUGGUACGCGAGCUGGGUUUAGAACGUCGUGAGACAGUUCGGUCCCUAUCUGCCGUGGGCGCUGGAGAACUGAGGGGGGCUGCUCCUAGUACGAGAGGACCGGAGUGGACGCAUCACUGGUGUUCGGGUUGUCAUGCCAAUGGCACUGCCCGGUAGCUAAAUGCGGAAGAGAUAAGUGCUGAAAGCAUCUAAGCACGAAACUUGCCCCGAGAUGAGUUCUCCCUGACUCCUUGAGAGUCCUGAAGGAACGUUGAAGACGACGACGUUGAUAGGCCGGGUGUGUAAGCGCAGCGAUGCGUUGAGCUAACCGGUACUAAUGAACCGUGAGGCUUAACCUUACAACGCCGAAGCUGUU